This 238-nucleotide ribosomal RNA is filed under the name uncultured bacterium. RNAcentral's name for it is "partial 16S ribosomal RNA". It matches the Rfam family "Bacterial small subunit ribosomal RNA", at positions 118 to 347 of the family's 1533-position model. The record is from RNAcentral.
UGAGCAACCUACCGAAAUGUGGGGGAUAGCCGGCCUAACGGCCGAGUAAUACCGCAUACGCUCUCGAUGAGGCAUUUCAUUGAGAGGAAACCUACGGGACAUUUCGAGGGGCUCGCGGCCUAUCAGCUAGUUGGCGAGGUAACGGCUCACCAAGGCAACGACGGGUAGCUGGUCUGAGAGGAUGGCCAGCCCAACAGUUGGGACUGAGAUACCGGCCCAGACCUCCGUACGGGAGCAG